RNAcentral lists this ribosomal RNA (513 nucleotides) under Oberea perspicillata. RNAcentral's name for it is "partial large subunit ribosomal RNA". It matches the Rfam family "Bacterial large subunit ribosomal RNA", at positions 1828 to 2603 of the family's 2925-position model. The record is from RNAcentral. Lineage: Eukaryota; Metazoa; Arthropoda; Insecta; Coleoptera; Cerambycidae.
GUCUUUUUGAAGAUAAUUUAAAGUCAAGCCUGCCCAGUGAUUAAUUUAACGGCCGCGGUAUUUUGACCGUGCUAAGGUAGCAUAAUCAUUAGUUUUUUAAUUGAAAGCUUGUAUGAAUGGUUAGAUGAGAAAGAUUCUGUCUCUAAAUUAUUUUAAUUGAAUUUUAUUUUUAAGUAAAAAAGCUUAAAUUAUUUUAAAAGACGAGAAGACCCUAUAGAGUUUUAUAUAAUUAAAAAUUUUAAGGUUUGGGAUAUUUUUAUUAAUAUUUGAAGUUAUAUUUGGUUGGGGUGAUAAUAAAAUUUAAUAAACUUUUAUUUAAUAAGAACAUAAAUUUAUGAGCAUUUGAUCCAUUAUUUUUGAUUAGAAGAAAAAAUUACCUUAGGGAUAACAGCGUAAUUUUUUUUAAGAGCUCAAAUCGAUAAAAAAGAUUGCGACCUCGAUGUUGGAUUAAAAUUUAUUUUUGGUGUAGAAGCUAAAAUUUUGGGUCUGUUCGACCUUUAAAAUUUUACAUGA